RNAcentral lists this unclassified non-coding RNA (247 nucleotides) under rhizosphere metagenome. RNAcentral's name for it is "partial ribosomal RNA internal transcribed spacer region". The record is from RNAcentral.
GUAGGUGAACCUGCGGAAAGAUCAUUAUUGAAUGAACAUAGAGUCGAUUGUCGCUGGCCCCUUUACCGGGGCAUGUGCACGCCUUCUCUAUUCAUCCACACACACCUGUGAACUUAUAAAACGAAUAGUAGUCCCCUAGAGGACGAGAUCCAUCUGCUAAUACAUAAACUCUAAUAAUAUAAAUUCGAAUGUCAUUUGAUGUAACGCAUCUAUAAACUAAGUUUCAACAACAGAUCUCUUGGCUCUC